AUACCCGUAAAUCGUUCUUAGGCCGGUGUGACUCAUGCGCCUGGCAAGCAAUUAAUCUUAUCAUUGAUAAGGCCAAGGGCAGCACACACUUACCGCCAGAUAUUUUAUUUAUAUAAAAAACCAGCACACACGCUUGCCGUUCGUUAAUGUACACAAGUGUGGAACAGGUUAAAUAGAUCUGACAUGGAACCUCCACAUUUGCAUGCAUGUCAGUAUAUAAAGUGUGGGAAAUAUCCCAGUAAAUUGCAAAUAAACAUCAAGGUGGAAUGGGGCGAAAAACGAACCCCACUCAGCAGCAAAGAUAACAAAAGUUGCAUUCAUAAAAAUUUACCAAGAAUGCGAGAAGGGUCAAAAUUGCAACCUUUUGAGAACCGCUGAAAACAAAGCGAUUUCUUGGAAGGCACUUCAGUAUUUCUUUAUCCAGUUUUUUUGAGCAAAAGUCAUAUAGAUAAUUAUAAGCCUUAUCACCUGUUUGAUCAAUGUCCUAACAAGACCAAGGUAUUUGUUUGCUGGUUUAUUUUUCCUUUUUUUGCAAUAAAUGGGAAAGGGUAUUUUCGUAAAGAUUUUACAUUUUUAAAAAACUCCAACAAUAAGAGCAAAUUGUUUGGACAUUUCGGUAUAUUGUUUUGAUAAUAAUAUUUUGACAUACAGAGGAGCUUUCCAAAAGAAAAGUGACACAUAAUUAUGUACAGACUCUACAAAUCCAUUUAUCAUGCGUUAGCUUACAGGCUACCACAUAAUAUUCUUAUAUGUUUUGAGACAGGCAACCCGUUGUCUUCCGUUGACUUUCAUGUAGGGGACCCAGAACGCAGAACUCAGAGCACAGAACUCAGAACCAUGACGGCAGAACGCAUCGAAACUAAUUGUUGGCCAUGACUGAUGUGUUGAUCUGUUCUGGCGGCUUUCUUGUCCACCGGAGGCAGUCGGCGGCAGCAGUCUGCGGUUGAUUAAAUAGACGGCACAACAGCACAACCACACAACGGCUAAAAGCAGCCGGUUGCAGCGUAUAAAGAGGGUAUAUAAAUACAUAUAUGUAUGUAUAGAAGCCAAACCACAAUUUAGCGCGCCGUCUGAACACUUUUUCCAUCUCUCUGUUGUUUUUUCAGGCCUUUUGGAAUUUUUUGUUUUUUCCACAAUUUGUUCUAAAGUUGUUGCCUUUUUGGGUUACUUCCAAAAUAGAAAUUAUUGAUAAGCCCGGUGCUCAAGUGUAUGAUUGCCGUUAACUUGUUUUAUAAUAGUGACGUAUGCCGCAUAACGGUACCAGCCUUUAUCUUAUGUUUUAACGGUUAUAUGAGGUCUAAUGCUUAGUUAGAACCACAAGUAAUACAAUACAAGAGAAUUACUCAAGAUAUAGCUUAUUGAUUGUUUGUUUACUCUAAUCUUAAGCCCAUAAUCUUGUAAGAAGUGCAUUAGUUUCAUUCAUGAUUGAACUGAAAAUAUUUUGAUAAAGGUUACAGUCGCGGGAACAUAUUUCAUUGUCUGUUUAUUGGAUAUCUUGUUCAAAGGGCAAUGAACUUUGGCAUAAAUAAAAAUGCAUAAAAAGACCCUCCAAGCUGACCAUUAUAAAUACAUGAUUUCAAGGGAGUGCCGUGCUCAUUAUCAGCUCUCCCCACUGUUUGUUUUGAUAUUAAACCCAAUACCUUUACUCAAUAUAUGUAUGUUAAUCGAUUGCUUUGCAAAGUCAAUCUGACAAACUACCUACACAAAUUCAAGAAUGAAUAUUUAUUUGUGCGGUGACGGCACCGAAAUUUUUCACAGCCAGCGGUCCAGUGGGAAUGACACACGACCUGAUAGUACAGAUACAGAUACAGAUACAAUGAUGAGCGCUAUAGCAGAUACAGAUACAGGGGCUUUCGUCACCAACGUGGACUUCCGUCACCAGCAAGCGAGUUUACUAAUUAUAUGUCAAAACACAUAUUGAUUACUGAUUUCGGAGCAGAAGAUACAAAGUUUUUAAGUACUAUGAACUUUAAAGCUGCAUAGUUACACAUUAAUUUUUUGUGUGCAAGAAAAAUCGAAUUGGAAAAGUGGAAAGCCAAUAAAGCCAGAGAGAGAAACGACCUUCGUCACUGGCACGACAUGCACUCAGUGCGCGUUGUGCGAGUUCACCAGGAGCAGUGCGUCAAAUCCUUGACUGAAUGCGAGCAGGAUAAUGUCGAGGACAAAGCAGGUCAAGGCGACAGGCGGAAACAGGUGGAGCGCGAUGGGAACGCCACUUCGACCCCUCCGACGUGCCUUAAAAUGAGCCUAGCUGGCAGACAAUAAAUAAAACCGAAAGCAAACAUCGCUCUCUUGUGCAUUCCACGCCCACUGUUCACCCACGAAUGGUUCUGUUUGUACGCACAAACAUUUCUAGUUUGGAAGAGCAACAACAUAAUAUACACAAAUGUAUAUUUGGCAAAGCAAAUCAACAGUUGUGGCCACUAAAGUAGAAUUCCGAAAUUCAUUAAAGAUUUCAUACCUGAUUUUAUAAGCUUUUAUGUAUUGAAUUAAAUAAUAAGAAUAAAGAUUUAAAAUAUAA
Long non-coding RNA from Drosophila elegans, 2521 nucleotides. RefSeq lists it as uncharacterized. The record is from RefSeq and is a predicted model, not a curated record. Lineage: Eukaryota; Metazoa; Arthropoda; Insecta; Diptera; Drosophilidae. The transcript has 2 exons.